AUACGGAGGGUGCAAGCGUUGUCCGGAUUUAUUGGGUUUAAAGGGUGCGUAGGUGGUUUUUUAAGUCAGUGGUGAAAGCCUACAGCUUAACUGUAGAGGUGCCAUUGAUACUGGGGAACUUGAGUAUGGACGAGGUAGGCGGAAUUUGUGGUGUAGCGGUGAAAUGCAUAGAUACCUCAAGGAACACCGAUAGCGAAGGCAGCUUACUGGGCCAUAACUGACACUCAGGCACGAAAGCGUGGGGAGCGAACAGGAUUAGAAACCCCAGUAGUCC
This 274-nucleotide ribosomal RNA is filed under the name uncultured bacterium. Its description in RNAcentral is "partial 16S ribosomal RNA". It matches the Rfam family "Bacterial small subunit ribosomal RNA", at positions 523 to 796 of the family's 1533-position model. The record is from RNAcentral.